This 3690-nucleotide long non-coding RNA is filed under the name Sus scrofa (pig). Its description in RNAcentral is "lncRNA (ENSSSCG00000053576.1)". The record is from RNAcentral. Lineage: Eukaryota; Metazoa; Chordata; Mammalia; Artiodactyla; Suidae.
CCAGCACCCGGUUAUGUUGCGAGUGGGCUGGGUGGUGUCUUCGCAUCCAUUUUCUUCUGUACAGGCAAGAGCUUUCAAACCAAAAAUCUAACAGUUUGUGUGCUGUCCUGAGAAAGGUCUCUGGUGACGAGGGAAGAUGAUUCAUAUGUGUACACCUGACCUUAUAAAAAUAGUCUUCGUAUUUAUCAUAAAGUUGAAUUUAUGCUGCAAUCAGACAUUUAUUCCAGUUUCUUUUUGUGUAUCUUUAAUAGACCAUUUAGUUUGUAGAUCUCUGUUAAAAUAAGUCUGUUUUCUUUUCUCCAAAAUUUGCCUAUAGUUUUUCUUCUUUAUGAAAAAAAUGAAACAAAUAGUUUCUUUCAUCAAGACAUUUUUUGCAAAGUUUCAGCUAACACAUUGUAGUGACUAAAAAUUGCCUUUGCCUAUUAUUUAUUGUUCAGAAAGUAAAAUUUAAGUGUAUUUAUUAACUAACAAUUCUGUCUUUAGAGUAAAAGUUAUUAGGUUUCUAAUACUAAUAGUUCUUUCACAUGCUUUCUGGAGUUCCUGUUGUGGCACAGUGGAAACCAAUCCGAUUAGGAACCAUGAGGUUGAAGGUUCGAUCCCUGUCCUUGCUCAGUGGGUUAAGGAUCCGGCAUUGCUGUGAACUGUGGUGUAGGUCACAGACAUGGCUCGGAUCUGGCAUUGCUGUGGCUCUGGCGUAGGCUCACAGUAACAGCUCUGGUUCGACCCCAAGCGUGGGAACCUCCGUAUGCUGCGAGUGCAGGCCUAAAAAGACACAACAAAAAAGAAAAGAAAAGAAAGGCUUUCUAUUCACGCCCUGAAACUACAUUUUUUAGCUUUUAGACUAUAGAUUAUCCAUUUUUUUGGUAUGGAUGCUGAAAUUUAGUUUUUGAAACUGAACCCAUAUUUGUUUAUAUGUCUCUCACAUAAUAGGAUUCUGGAUGAUGAGUGGUUUUCUGUGCACACGUGAAGGAUUAGAUACAUAUCUUUCUUUUUUCCAAAAAUGCCAUCAGCAUUGUCAGGCUCUGAAUAAUAUAGGUAGAAAACUGCCUCAAUAUUUCUGACAUUUCUUUUUUUAAAAAUAGCCACAAUGCAGAAUGAAUAAAUAUUAACAUUUCAUAAAGCGUGACCAUGAAAUAACAAAACUCCUUUUUUUUUUUCAAAAAAGCUCAUGUACUGAAAUUUAUAUUCAAAUGAAUGUUGCCCUUCGCUGAGGUCGCCUUGGAUUUCAGAAAUGCUGCCAUUGUUCAAAAUAUUUUGUUAGCACGUUUUGGGGUCUGUUUUUAGAGCCAAUUUAUGCACCCGGAAGCAUUCCUCAGUGAACACUGGGAAGGCAUUGUGUUUUUAUGAUCAGUGCAAAUGUGGAGGCAGACUUUCUGAGAUGCUAAUAAUUUCUUUUUUGCUUUUGUGAAUAUAUCUAUUUAUAUUUUUCAAAAGCACUAAGUUUACAGUCCUAAGAUACUCAGAAUGACAUUCUUUGCGUCCUUAGACUUGAGGUGUUUCUUUUGAUGAGUCUGUGCCCUCCUCAUGAAAUAUGUUUUUAUUCUAAAGACUACUCUUCUUUAUUCUAGACAAAAGAUAUGUCUAUCACAUAGGAGGAGGGCUCAGAGGCUCAUGGACUCUGAGGUCACACUUUGGUUUGAGGGCUUCAGAGACUAUUCAGGACAUUUGGACUCUUAUUAAAAAACAGGAAACACAUGUUCAGGCUGGAUCAAGAAGUAUGGAUGGGCUCAUUGUUUUGUUCACAUCUUGUGAUAUCAUUUAGUCAUAUCUUUAUCCUUACUAGAACUCAUGGGAUUAUACCUAACCCGCCCCUGCUCGGGGCUCUUUUACUGGAUAUGGAGCUUACCAGAGCCUAUAGCACUCUGCAUACCUAGUUACUAUUUGAUAUUCACUUGCAUUAGGGAUGUACAAAAUGCAUCCUAAAGAGCCAGUGUAUACCAGGCCCACAUGGGUUUACUAGUGUAUUUUACCAAACAUUUCGGAGAGGAAUUAUACCAAUUCCCUAAAAUCUCUUCCAGAAGGUAGAAGCAGAGAGAAUACUUCCUAACUCAUUCUGUGAUGCUCAAAUUACCCUAAUGCCAAAACUAGAAAGCCAUUAAAAGAAUAUUGCUCCAAUAUCCCUCAUGAACAGAGAAGCAAAAGCCCUUAAUAAGAGCCAACCCAUGGGCCAUCAUGCCAGAUAAAGGAGUGAUGGAGCUAUGGAGGGAUGUUUUGUUUCUACUUGACGCUGUUCCUUUACUCAGCCAAAGGUUACUCUUCUGAGUACUAUCCUACAUGGUCACGAAGUCAGACAAGUUACCAUCCCUCGUUUUGCCAUUCACUUAUUAAUUCACUUUUCCAGCAACAUUUCUUCAGCAUAUACAAGGUGUCAGGCACUGUACUUGGUCCUGGGGAGUAAAUCAGCGAGCAAAAUAGGCCAAACCCCUGCCCUUGCGGAGCUUACAUUCUACUGGGCAAAGAGAUGACCAACACGAUAUGCAUGUGUUAGUGAUACAUGUUACACUCACGCCAUUCUUAGCACGUAUGUGGAGGUGAAAUGCACAGAGGUUGUUCAAGGUGCCUUAUAGAGCAGGUGGCUUCAUGUAAAACCCCAAAGGAUGUGAAGGAAAGAGUCUUGACAGUGUCUCCUGGAGAAGAGAAAGUAGAAGGGACAAGAAGACAAUUGCCGGGAGGCCAGGAAGGGUGAGAGAAGGGAGGUACUUGGAGGUCAAGUUGAAGUGAGGUGGAAACCCGGUCAUGAAGGGCCUUGUGGGAAAUAGCAGGGAGCUUGGAUUUUCCACUAAGUGUAGUGGGAAACCACUGGAGGGUGUUCACUGAGCAAAUGCUAUGAAAUGAUUGACUAGUUUAGAAAUUUAUUCUCGCUUCUAUGGAGAAAAUUAUAUUUAGGUGUCAAAAGUACAGGCAGAAAGACCAGUAGGACGUUUCUGCAGGGGUGCAGGAGAGGAAGCUCUCAGAAGGUCACUAGCUUUGAUCAGGCUCAUGGCAGAAUAAUGGGGAAAAGUAAAAAAAGGCUUUUGAGACAUAGCUUCCAAGUAGAACCUAUAUGACCUGUUGAUGGAUUGGUUAUAUGGAAUAAGAGAGUAUUAUCCUAGGAUAAGUAUUAUCCUAGGUUUCUGCCUUGAACAACUUAGUGAAGACUUUCACCAUAAUUGGGAAGAUUGAAAACAGAAUCAGAUAAAGGAGGGGAAAAAAGCUUUAUUUUUUACAUAGUAGGCUUGGUUUGAGAAGAUUUGUAGGUAACAUUCUGUUUUUCUCUUGCUGCCUUUAGGAUCCUCUCUUUAUCACUAACUUUUGCCAUUUUUAUUAUGAUGUGUCUUGGUGUGGGUCUGUUUGGGUUCAGUUUGUUUGGGGCCCUCUGUGCUUCUUGUAUCUUGAACCCAGUAUCCUUUAGAUUUGGGAAGUUUCCAGCGAUAAUUUCUUCAAAUAUAUUUUCCAUCCCCUUAUCUUUUUCUACUCCUUCUGGAAUUCCUAUUAUGCGUAGAUUGGCCCGCUUUAUAUUAUCCCAUAGGUCUCUUAUAUUGCUUGGGCUUAUCAGACACAACUUAGAAUAGAUUUACAAGGAGAUCCUGCUGAAUAGCAUUGAGAACUAUGUCUAGAUACUCAUGUUGCAACAGAAGAAAGGGUGGGGGAAAAAAUCUAAUUGUAAUGUAUACGUGUAAGGAUAACCUGACCCCCUUGCUGUACAGUGGG